UGGGGAAUUUUCCGCAAUGGGCGAAAGCCUGACGGAGCAAUACCGCGUGAGGGAUGACGGCCUAUGGGUUGUAAACCUCUUUUUUCAGGGAGGAAAAAAUGACGUUACCUGAAGAAUAAGCAUCGGCUAACUCCGUGCCAGCAGCCGCGGUAAGACGGAGGAUGCAAGUGUUAUCCGGAAUCACUGGGCGUAAAGCGUCUGUAGGUGGUUUAAUAAGUCAACUGUUAAAUCUUGAGGCUCAACCUCAAAACCGCAGUCGAAACUAUUAGACUAGAGUAUAGUAGGGGUAAAGGGAAUUUCCAGUGGAGCGGUGAAAUGCGUAGAGAUUGGAAAGAACACCGAUGGCGAAGGCACUUUACUGGGCUAUUACUAACACUGAGAGACGAAAGCUAGGGUAGCAAAUGGGAUUAGAUACCCCCGUAGUCC
Molecule: ribosomal RNA, 426 nt
Filed under: uncultured prokaryote
Description: bacterial SSU rRNA
Rfam family: Bacterial small subunit ribosomal RNA
Source: RNAcentral